AGAGUUUGAUCCUGGCUCAGAUUGAACGCUGGCGGCAUGCCUUACACAUGCAAGUCGAACGGUAACAGGGAGCUUGCUCCGCUGACGAGUGGCGAACGGGUGAGUAAUGUAUCGGAACGUACCAUUCAGUGGGGGAUAACGUAGCGAAAGUUACGCUAAUACCGCAUAUUCUGUGAGCAGGAAAGCAGGGGAUCGCAAGACCUUGCGCUGAUUGAGCGGCCGAUAUCAGAUUAGCUAGUUGGUGAGGUAAAGGCUCACCAAGGCGACGAUCUGUAGCGGGUCUGAGAGGAUGAUCCGCCACACUGGAACUGAGACACGGUCCAGACUCCUACGGGAGGCAGCAGUGGGGAAUUUUGGACAAUGGGGGCAACCCUGAUCCAGCCAUGCCGCGUGAGUGAAGAAGGCCUUCGGGUUGUAAAGCUCUUUCGGCCGGGAAAAAAUCGCAUAGGUUAAUACCCUGUGUGGAUGAUGGUACCGGAAUAAGAAGCACCGGCUAACUACGUGCCAGCAGCCGCGGUAAUACGUAGGGUGCGAGCGUUAAUCGGAAUUACUGGGCGUAAAGCGUGCGCAGGCGGUUUGAUAAGACAGGCGUGAAAUCCCCGGGCUCAACCUGGGAACUGCGUUUGUGACUGUCUCACUAGAGUACGGCAGAGGGGGGUGGAAUUCCACGUGUAGCAGUGAAAUGCGUAGAGACGUGGAGGAACACCAAUGGCGAAGGCAGCCCCCUGGGUCGAUACUGACGCUCAUGCACGAAAGCGUGGGUAGCAAACAGGAUUAGAUACCCUGGUAGUCCACGCCCUAAACGAUGUCAACUAGGUGUUGGGAGGGUAAAACCUUUUAGUACCGUAGCUAACGCGAGAAGUUGACCGCCUGGGGAGUACGGCCGCAAGGUUAAAACUCAAAGGAAUUGACGGGGACCCGCACAAGCGGUGGAUGAUGUGGAUUAAUUCGAUGCAACGCGAAAAACCUUACCUACCCUUGACAUGUUCAGGAGUCCAAAGAGAUUUGGAUGUGCUCGAAAGAGAACUGGAACACAUGUGCUGCAUGGCUGUCGUCAGCUCGUGUCGUGAGAUGUUGGGUUAAGUCCCGCAACGAGCGCAACCCUUGUCGUUAAUUGCCAUCAUUUAGUUGGGCACUUUAACGAGACUGCCGGUGACAAACCGGAGGAAGGUGGGGAUGACGUCAAGUCCUCAUGGCCCUUAUGGGUAGGGCUUCACACGUCAUACAAUGGUCGGUACAAAGGGUUGCCAACCCGCGAGGGGGAGCUAAUCCCAUAAAGCCGAUCGUAGUCCGGAUCGCAGGCUGCAACUCGCCUGCGUGAAGUCGGAAUCGCUAGUAAUCGUGGAUCAGCAUGUCAC
Molecule: ribosomal RNA, 1358 nt
Filed under: metagenome
Description: bacterial SSU rRNA
Rfam family: Bacterial small subunit ribosomal RNA
Source: RNAcentral